GUGAGGGCGCUUAGGAGAGAGAUGGUGAGGCCGGUAGCACCAGAAGCUGCCGCUUCGUCCAUCAAGCUGCCUCUGAGGACAAUGGAGGAGUUUCAAUUAGCAGAGGCUGUUAUGAGAGAAACCCCCUGCGAAAAACAAAAGAUGAUCUUAACAUUCAGUCUAAUUGGAGGGCACACUGCAGAAGAGGCCGUAAGAAGGAUGUUGCAGAGUGGCCUAACAAAUAACCUGGCGUGUCGCUUCAACUGGGCAGGGAAAGGCUUCAAGGAAGCCUUUAAAAGCACUGUCCUUAGUGAUGUACUGUUCGCUGCACUCCAAAAACAGCUGCCAGGGACCACCCAUAUUGUUUUUUCAGGGACACUUAAGAAGUGGCUUAAAUAUGCACCAGAGAGAGAGGGAGGUGGAGGGAGGCGAACAAAUGAACGCGAUCAGGCGCCGCAGGAUCCUCGACCAUGAAUGAAUGUGUGUGUGUAAAUAAUAAUUAUAUUCGUUAGAAUAAUAGGGUUAAUUGGGUUUGGGUUGUUCGUGUUCGGUUAUCACGUUGUGUUGUUCAUUAUUGUCGCCACCGUUGUUGUGUCAUGUUUGUUUGUUGGGUGCUCUAUGUGAGAGGAUUUUAAUGAAAGUAGUCUGCGUCGAGGGGUGUACGGGGCGCAGAACUACAGUUAAAUAAAGCCUGACUGUGCGUUUCUUGGCCGCCGCUACAAUAUGUUUGACAACAAUAGCCUAUGUUCUGUGUAUUCAUAUAUUCAUUAGAGCCUUGAAGGAGAUUCAGUAGCCUUAAAAUCCUAAUUUAAUUGUAGAGUCAUAUCAUGAUGUCCUUUAAAUAAAUCAGUGAGUGAAGAACCAACAUCGACCACAAUUCGACCAUAAUCACUAGU
Gadus morhua (Atlantic cod) is the source of this 875-nucleotide long non-coding RNA. RefSeq lists it as uncharacterized. Lineage: Eukaryota; Metazoa; Chordata; Actinopteri; Gadiformes; Gadidae. The transcript is spliced from 4 exons. The record is from RefSeq and is a predicted model, not a curated record.